UCCCUGGUGGCUCAGCUGGUAAAGAAUUCACCUGCAAUGUGGGAGACCUGGGUUCGAUCCCUAGUUUGGGAA
This is a non-coding RNA of Bos taurus (domestic cattle), 72 nucleotides long. The record is from Rfam. NCBI's taxonomy places the organism in Eukaryota, Metazoa, Chordata, Mammalia, Artiodactyla, Bovidae.